Molecule: transfer RNA, 71 nt
Filed under: Candidatus Wildermuthbacteria bacterium RIFCSPHIGHO2_12_FULL_40_12
Lineage: Bacteria; Candidatus Wildermuthiibacteriota
Also listed under: 1 other name
Description: tRNA-Gln
Rfam family: tRNA
About the family: Transfer RNA (tRNA) molecules are approximately 80 nucleotides in length. Their secondary structure includes four short double-helical elements and three loops (D, anti-codon, and T loops).
Source: RNAcentral
GCGCAGGCAGGUCUAAUGGUAGAACAUCACCCUUUGGAGGUGAGUAUCGGGGUUCGAAUCCCUGCCUCGCA